Molecule: ribosomal RNA, 379 nt
Filed under: uncultured Clostridium sp.
Lineage: Bacteria; Bacillati; Bacillota; Clostridia; Eubacteriales; Clostridiaceae
Description: bacterial SSU rRNA
Rfam family: Bacterial small subunit ribosomal RNA
Source: RNAcentral
UGGGGAAUAUCGCACAAUGGGCGAAAGCCUGAUGCAGCGACGCCGCGUGAGCGAAGAAGUAUUUCGGUAUGUAAAGCUCUAUCAGCAGGGAAGAAGAAUGACGGUACCUGACUAAGAAGCCCCGGCUAACUACGUGCCAGCAGCCGCGGUAAUACGUAGGGGGGCAAGCGUUAUCCGGAUUUACUGGGUGUAAAGGGAGCGUAGACGGCAUGGCAAGUCUGAAGUGAAAUGCGGGGGGCUCAACCCCUGAACUGCUUUGGAAACUGUCAGGCUGGAGUGCAGGAGAGGUAAGUGGAAUUCCUAGUGUAGCGGUGAAAUGCGUAGAUAUUAGGAGGAACACCAGUGGCGAAGGCGGCUUACUGGACUGUAACUGACGUUG